AUGGUUUUUAACACAGUAUUCUAUUAUUCCUAUACUAUGCUUAGAUAAUGUAUAUAGACACAUCUAUCAACAUGGUGAUGGAGUUUGUCUGUCAGGGCCUGAAAUAACGUUCCCGAAGUUCCCGGUCAUGGUGAUCGGCAGUCAUGACUUUCCCUACUUUUCAGGUUGGAAACCCUGCUUUUCCGCUGAUCAUAAGCAAUUUCUUGAUGAUUAUUGAUUGGUGAUCAGUUGUUAUUUCAAGCCCUGGUUUGUUGAAAAAUUUAACUGGUCUAAGAUGCA
Molecule: non-coding RNA, 279 nt
Organism: Paramuricea clavata
Lineage: Eukaryota; Metazoa; Cnidaria; Anthozoa; Malacalcyonacea; Plexauridae
Source: the annotation of a GenBank genome assembly